AACGAACGCUGGCGGCAUGCCUAACACAUGCAAGUCGAACGAGACCUUCGGGUCUAGUGGCGCACGGGUGCGUAACGCGUGGGAACCUGCCCUUAGGUUCGGAAUAACUCCCCGAAAGGGGUGCUAAUACCGGAUAAUGUCUUCGGACCAAAGAUUUAUCGCCUUUGGAUGGGCCCGCGUUGGAUUAGCUAGUUGGUAGGGUAAAAGCCUACCAAGGCGACGAUCCAUAGCUGGUCUGAGAGGAUGGUCAGCCACACUGGGACUGAGACCCGGCCCAGACUCCUACGGGAGGCAGCAGUGGGGAAUAUUGGACAAUGGGCGAAAGCCUGAUCCAGCAAUGCCGCGUGAGUGAUGAAGGCCUUAGGGUUGUAAAGCUCUUUUACCCGGGAUGAUAAUGACAGUACCGGGAGAAUAAGCUCCGGCUAACUCCGUG
This 433-nucleotide ribosomal RNA is filed under the name uncultured bacterium. Its description in RNAcentral is "partial 16S ribosomal RNA". It matches the Rfam family "Bacterial small subunit ribosomal RNA", at positions 29 to 507 of the family's 1533-position model. The record is from RNAcentral.